RNAcentral lists this small nuclear RNA (107 nucleotides) under Cavia aperea (Brazilian guinea pig). The record is from RNAcentral. Lineage: Eukaryota; Metazoa; Chordata; Mammalia; Rodentia; Caviidae.
GUGCUCGCUUCAGCAGCACAUAUACUAAAAUCGGAACGAUACAGAGAAGAUUAGCGUGGCCCCUGUGCAAGGAUGACAUGCAAAUUCGUGAAGCAUUCCAUAUUUUU